RNAcentral lists this long non-coding RNA (2452 nucleotides) under Athene cunicularia (burrowing owl). RNAcentral describes it as "lncRNA (ENSACUG00000008199.1)". The record is from RNAcentral. Lineage: Eukaryota; Metazoa; Chordata; Aves; Strigiformes; Strigidae.
CUUUCCUAUGUUAUUUCUUGCCAUGCCCAUUGAUGUUGGGCUGGGGUCAUCUUAUGUUCACCCAGCUCCUUUUCUGGUUCCUUUUUACCAGCAUCUUUGGGCUGAAUGGGCUGUAACUUCUUAUAUAAGCUUUUACUCCCGUUCAGCCCACAAAAGCCAUGGGUUUGCAUUGCAGAGAUCUGCCCUGUCUUGUCUCUCAGGACAGGGAAAUGACCCAGUUGUGGGACAGCACUUUGGGACUGGGCAAACGGAACAUGAUGAGCUACAUGGGCCACAAGCAGGCGGUGCGGCCACAAGCCCCACAGGCAGACAGACCCAGAGCGCCAUCCUGCCAGCCAGAAGCCCAAGGAGAGCUGGCCAAAGCACCGGAAAACUGACCCUCCCUGGGUAUCCACCCCACCGCGUGCCACCACCAGCUCUUCACUGGCCCGCAGCAACCUGUUGGGUGGCGAUGGGCACCUCGCCGGCUCCUGCAUUCGGGAGCCCCACAGGCACCCCAGCAGCGGGAGCGUGGAGGGGCGGCAUGGGCUGGAGAGGCAAGAGUACACAAUGCUGGCAGACCUGCCCAAGCCCAGGCGCCUUGGCCACCAGAAUGCUGUUGACCGCUGUGGCUUCCGUACACUCAGCCCUGGCCGGGUGGAGGUGGAGAAAAUAUUUGGAUGUGAACGCAGGAAAUCAGAGACCCUGGAAGCCUUCCAGGCGCUGGAGGAGGGCCGUGUGGACCGGCUUGAUGGCAAGACCCCAGUGCCACCCAGCAAAGGCCAUCUGGUUCGGAGGCAGUCCAGCCCCAGCCUGCCCAGGGAGGGUCAGCGGCUCUCCUGGCACCUUGAGCAGCGCAGCAAAGACCCCAAGGAGCCCCCAUGUUCCCCCAGCCUGGCUUGGCACCCCGAGAAGACCACCAGGAACCGGGGGGACCCCCUGCGCCCUGCCAGCCCCAGCUGGCUGCUGGAGAGAGGCAGCCAGAGCCCACGCUCUUCAAGUCCAGCCCACCGGUCAGAGAAGAGGGCAGGGGAGCCUGCAAGCCCUCCCUGGCUCUCGGAGAAAAGCUGGAGGAGCCGAGGGGAGCCAAGCCACCCUCUAAACUUGGAGAGGGGCCGAGCCACCUGGCAGGCUGGGGGUACAGGGCAAGCCCUGGAGAAGAAGAGCCGAGGGGACUCCCUGCACCCUGCAGGCCUUGGGAAGGGUUUGGAUAAUAGUGGGCUGAGGCGGUCGGGGCCACUACCACGGUCUCUGAGUCCUGGGAGACAUACAGAGAGCACGUGGAAAAGCCAAAAGGAGAUCUCCUCUCCCAGGCCAGUGUGGGGAGCAGAGAGGAAACAAGCAAAGCUGGGGGAGCUACUGUAUCUCAGGGGGCCUGGGAAGCCAUCUGAAUGCAGCUGGCAGAGCCUCCGGGAAAAGCUGCCACCCUCCCCCCCUGGGAAGGGCACUGGCAGUGACUGGAAAGGCAGAGGCAAACCUCUGCGCCCUGUGAGCCCAACACAACCACGGAACCAGGACUGGAGGGGUCGGAGGGAUGCCCACCAAGCGCAGGCAUUGGAAAAGGACUGGAAGCACCAAGAAAAGCCUAUGUGCCAUGCAGACUUGAUGCACCAUCAGGAAAGGGACUGGAAAAGCCCCGCUACAUGUCUGGAUGUAGGACCACGGCUGGAUGAUAGUUGGAAAAGGCCUCAGAGUCCAGCACAGCAGCUGGAGGACGAGUGGAAGGGUCCCAAGCACACCCGAGACACAAACAACCCAGAAAAGUCACUGGAAAGCGACUGUGGGAACAAGAAACUUCUCAUUUACCAUGUGAGUAGAGCAGGAGCCAGAGGAGAUAAGGACCUUUCCAGGCAUAAAACUGGCAAGCACUAAGUGGGUGGGUCCCCUGGAUCCUCUGCUUCUCCGCACUGCCUGCCUGGUACUGGGAGGAGGGAGCAUGCUUCCUGCGCUGGCUGGUGCCAGGAGGCGAAUGCUCAGAUCUGGGAAAGUGAGGUGGGAACUAAACCCCUGUGGCUUUAGCUUCCGCUUUCUCCCCCUGCAGCCCCAGCUGGGUGGAGGUACCUUCCCGUCCCAAAGCAGCACCGGCUCCUCGGGAAGCCCACAGCCACAUUCCAAUGCCAGCGAGAAGCGUAACAAGGUAGGGGCAGCUGCUCUUCCCUGAAGGUCACUGUGGGCAGCACCUGGAUCUCCAGCACUUGAGCAGGGUUAGGGUGGUGCUGCCUUCCUGUGACCUCCUGGGCACCAUGCUCACUAAAACCCCCCUGUCCUUCAUCCUUUGCCCAUUUCUCAGGUGGGAAACUGAGGCAUUUUUUUUAAAGCCAGAGAGGGGCAAGCAGUAGACCUGGAACUAAAAUCUCAGUGUAGCGGCUUUCCUUCCCUUUGCUAUUGCCAGUGCUAUGAUGGCAGUGAGGGUUUUACAGGGAUGAAGCAGGCUUUAGUGGCAUGAAAGAAGAUAUGGUCAACUGUGUUGGUG